GUGAGGAAUAUUGCGCAAUGGAGGCAACUCUGACGCAGCCAUGCCGCGUGCAGGAAGAAGGCGCUACGCGUUGUAAACUGCUUUUAACCGGGAAGAAACCCCAGGACGUGUCCUGGGUUGACGGUACCGGAGGAAUAAGCACCGGCUAACUUCGUGCCAGCAGCCGCGGUAAUACGAAGGGUGCAAGCGUUAUCCGGAUCCAUUGGGUUUAAAGGGUGCGUAGGCGGAGCGUUAAGUCAGUGGUGAAAUCCUGCAGCUUAACUGUAGACUUGCCAUUGAUACUGGCGCUCUUGAGUGCGCUUGAAGUGGGCGGAAUGUGCCGUGUAGCGGUGAAAUGCUUAGAUAUGGCACAGAACACCAAUUGCGAAGGCAGCUCACUAAGGCGAUACUGACGCUGAGGCACGAAAGCGUGGGGAUCGAACAGGAUUAGAAACCCUUGUAGUCC
RNAcentral lists this ribosomal RNA (445 nucleotides) under uncultured bacterium. RNAcentral's name for it is "partial 16S ribosomal RNA". It matches the Rfam family "Bacterial small subunit ribosomal RNA", at positions 354 to 796 of the family's 1533-position model. The record is from RNAcentral.